AAACAGUUGCCUUUAAACUCUCUCAUCUUCUCAAUCUCUCUCUAACCUUCUCCAAAAUCCUAGCCCUACCCCGCCGAUUUCCACCUUAUUUCACCGGAAUCAAUGGCCUCCCAAGCCCUGGGUGGCCUGUACUCACCCACAUGCACCUCCAUGCCCUUGUCUCUUAAAAAUUGAAGGCCUGACCUUGAAGAACUUGGCUUAGAUCUCUGAUUCGAGUUCUGCGGCCAUCCGGCUCAAAUCUGGCGUAUCCUAGUCCUAUGAGUCCAUCUCUGACUUUUUUGACUCGGAUUAGCCCCUUUUCCAUGCCUUUUUCAUUUCUAGGGUUCCUCCAAAACCCUAUGCCAUUUCGAGGUUCUCUUAUUUCUCUCUAGAUCUGCUUCAGAUCUGUGCUAUUUUUAAGGUUUUCAAAUGACUUCCUACAUCUUUUUCAAAACUUUGCUUUCAAAAACUGUUCAUCUUCUCCGACUUAGGGUUUUCUUGAUUUUACUUGUUCUACUGUGAUUUUUAUGUGGUGUUCUUUACUCUAUUUGUCCUACCGUGACUCCUAUGUGUUUCUAUUUUGACUCAUAUGUGUUUUCUUCUACUAUGUUUCCUCCUAAUUUUCCUUGUGUUUUUCUUUUACUAUGUUUUCCCUCAUCGUUUUUUCACAGAACGAUUAAGAUCCUUUGGGUUUUCUGAGUUUGCUUUUGCCUGAUUUGUUUGGUUUUGUCCCUACACUGGAAUAAUGACAAAAACCCUAGAACUCAGGGGUUUUCAGACCACUUGUAUGUGACUUGCAUGUUCUCACCUCUGAACUAGUUUGAUUUCAAUUUCUGAAGUCAUCUCUGUUUUUCAUGUGGUUCUGACCUUUUGCCAAAAAAAAACUCUUCUACACUAGAUUUUUCCUACUGAUUCUUUACAAUGACACUACAGUCUUCUUUCAUGUUUGACGUGUUCGUAUGCUCCUUAUAUACUAUGAAUUUCCCCCUAAAUGGUUAUUCAAAUUUGCAAUUAGUUUAAAAUUUCUUCUGAAUAUAUCUUGAUUGAUUUCUUUCCAUUUGUUUUGCCUGUGACUCGACCUUUUUCAAAUUCGCAAUUAAUUCAAAAUUUCUUUUAAAUAUAGCUUGAUUGAUUUCUUUCCAUUUUUUUGUCUGUGACUCGACCUAAGUAAAACCCUUCUCUUUUUUAUUCAAGACUUGAUUCAUUCAUAUAAAAUCUCAGACCUUUUGAUUACUAUUUGUUAAUUGGUCUUCUUUUGUUUGAUGAUAUUAAGUCAUUUUUUGUUAGAUUUGAGCCGUGUGGAGACGAAUUUCAAAGGAAAAGUAAUUUUUAAGUGUUGAUUUGGUCUUGUUGAGGUAAGUAUCUUGUCUAACGUUGUGUAAAAAAACUACCACAUAGGAUUUGGUUUAAUUGCAGUGUUAGAUCUACGUAAAAGACAUGUAUAUGAGGUUGGGUAUGUACAUGAUCUUAUAUGUGAUAAUCGACAGGUUUAGACUUUUAGGCUUCUUAGAUACUUUUAAUUGAAGUUGUUAUUACAUGGUCUACCUUUCUUUGUCGGGUUUAUUCUUAUAUGCUUUAAUUGAAGUUGUUAUUAUAUGUUUUAUCUUUCAUUGUCAAGAUUACUCUUAUAUGCAUUCAAUAGAGGUUGUUAUUAUGUAUAAUAUCUUCAUUGUUGAGUUUACUUUUAUGCAAUUAAUUGAAGUUGUAGUUAUUAAGAGCUAUUAACAUGUUUUAACUGAAGUCGUUGUUUAUGGAAUAUCUUUCACUAUUGAGUUAUUUCCCAUUUUAUUUUAUUGUUAUUGAGAUUCUUGUACACAUUGGGGUUGAUUCGUGGGCUAUGUGUUAUGACGAUAUUGGUAUUGCUCUUAUGGAAUUAUUGUGGCAUGUCGUCAGGUGUGGUGUGAGAUGAUUAUUGUGUUGUGAUGAUAUGCGCAUGCAGCGGUAUAAAGAUGGUGAUAUUGAUGUGCAUGCGGGGAGAUAAGGGUGUUAUAUGAGAGUGUUACUAAUAAUAAAAAUUACUUUAUUUGAACUACACGCGCCGAGAUAAUGGGUGCUAAAGUGUGUGAAGCUAUUUCGGAAAAAUAUUUUUAAAAAUAAAUAUAAAUCUAACGUGACGAUAUAAGGAAGAUUUGUGAUUUGUGACUUGUGAAAUGUGGUUAUAAGUUGUGGUACCUCGGAAUGAUUCUUGUUGUACAUGCUAUAUUGGAACGACUUAUUUGUUUGAACGAUUAUUGUCUCCUUUAAUUUAUGUUACUUGUAUUUUAAUUGUAUUUGAUUGUUGACUGUUUCAAUCACUUGUUUACUCUUUGUUAUCAUUUGCUGCAUUUAUUUUCGUUGUUAGCCUUAUUUUAAUGUUCUACCUUGUUGUCAUUAAUUGCUUUUACUUCUCGUCUUGCACCAGUCUUGUGUCUAGUGAGUGUUUUGAUUUACCUCGUCAUUACUUUACUGAGAUUAGUCUGGAUAUUUACUGAGUAUUUAUAUGAUGUACUCAUUCUACUCUUCUACACAAUUUUAUGCAAAUCCAGGUUCCUCUUCCCGUGUUAGAUGCUAGUGAGUUGAUUCAAAUAUUUCGGAGACUUCAAGGUAUAUCUGUUUGAUGCUCCCAGGCCUCGGAGUCACCCUCUACUGAUUAUUUGCUACUUUUUCUUUUAUUUUUUAACAACAUAUGAAUCGAAAUUCUUAAUAUAUUUCG
This 2671-nucleotide long non-coding RNA is filed under the name Nicotiana benthamiana. RNAcentral's name for it is "long non-coding RNA (NBEN_LNC028647)". Lineage: Eukaryota; Viridiplantae; Streptophyta; Magnoliopsida; Solanales; Solanaceae. The record is from RNAcentral.